RNAcentral lists this ribosomal RNA (253 nucleotides) under uncultured bacterium. Its description in RNAcentral is "partial 16S ribosomal RNA". It matches the Rfam family "Bacterial small subunit ribosomal RNA", at positions 524 to 776 of the family's 1533-position model. The record is from RNAcentral.
UACGUAGGGUGCAAGCGUUGUCCGGAAUUAUUGGGCGUAAAGAGCUCGUAGGCGGUCUGUCGCGUCGGCUGUGAAAACCCGAGGCUCAACCUCGGGCCUGCAGUCGAUACGGGCAAACUAGAGUACUGCAGGGGAGACUGGAAUUCCUGGUGUAGCGGUGAAAUGCGCAGAUAUCAGGAGGAACACCGGUGGCGAAGGCGGGUCUCUGGGCAGUUACUGACGCUGAGGAGCGAAAGCGUGGGGAGCGAACAGG